GACGAACGCUGGCGGCGUGCUUAACACAUGCAAGUCGAACGGACAGGCCCUGCUUUUGUGGGGUGCUCGAGUGGCGAACGGGUGAGUAACACGUGAGUAACCUGCCCUUGACUUUGGGAUAAAUUCAGGAAACUGGGGCUAUUACCGGAUAGGAGCUCCUGCUGCAUGGUGGGGAUUGGAAAGUUUCGGCGGUUGGGGAUGGACUCGCGGCUUAUCAGCUUGUUGGUGUGGUAGUGGCUUACCAAGGCUUUGACGGGUAGCCGGCCUGAGAGGGUGACCGGCCACAUUGGGACUGAGAGACGGCCCAGACUCCUACGGGAGGCAGCAGUGGGGAAUAUUGCACAAUGGGCGGAAGCCUGAUGCAGCAACGCCGCGUGCGGGAUGACGGCUUUCGGGUUGUAAACCGCUUUCGCCUGUGACGAAGCGUGAGUGACGGUAAUGGGUAAAGAAGCACCGGCUAACUACGUG
This 468-nucleotide ribosomal RNA is filed under the name uncultured bacterium. Its description in RNAcentral is "partial 16S ribosomal RNA". It matches the Rfam family "Bacterial small subunit ribosomal RNA", at positions 28 to 507 of the family's 1533-position model. The record is from RNAcentral.